RNAcentral lists this ribosomal RNA (1320 nucleotides) under uncultured prokaryote. Its description in RNAcentral is "partial 16S ribosomal RNA". It matches the Rfam family "Bacterial small subunit ribosomal RNA". The record is from RNAcentral.
AGAAGUUGAUCCUGGCUCAGAUCGAACGCUGGCGGCACGCCUAACACAUGCAAGUCGCGCAGUCCUUCGGGACCGAGCGGCGGACGGGUUAGUAACGCGUGGGAAUAUGCCCAUCACUAAGGAAUAGCCUCUGGAAACGGAGAGUAAUACCUUAUACGCCCUUCGGGGGAAAGAUUUAUCGGUGAUGGAUUAGCCCGCGUAAGAUUAGAUAGUUGGUGGGGUAACGGCCUACCAAGUCGACGAUCUUUAGCUGGUUUGAGAGGAUGAUCAGCAACACUGGGACUGAGACACGGCCCAGACUCCUACGGGAGGCAGCAGUGGGGAAUCUUAGACAAUGGGCGCAAGCCUGAUCUAGCGAUGCCGCGUGAGUGAUGAAGGUCUUAGGAUCGUAAAGCUCUUUCACCAGGGAUGAUAAUGACAGUACCUGGAAAAGAAACCCCGGCUAACUCCGUGCCAGCAGCCGCGGUAAUACGGAGGGGGUUAGCGUUGUUCGGAAUUACUGGGCGUAAAGCGCACGUAGGCGGAUUAAAAAGUUGGGGGUGAAAUCCCGGGGCUCAACCCCGGAACUGCCUCCAAAACUAGUAGUCUAGAGUUCGAGAGAGGUGAGUGGAAUUCCAAGUGUAGAGGUGAAAUUCGUAGAUAUUUGGAGGAACACCAGUGGCGAAGGCGGCUCACUGGCUCGAUACUGACGCUGAGGUACGAAAGCGUGGGGAGCGAAAGGGAUUAGAUACCCCUGUAGUCCACGCCGUAAACGUUGUACACUCGCUAUUGGCGGCUUCGACCCCGUCAGUGGCUAAGCUAACGCGAUAAGUGUACCGCCUGAGGACUACGGCCGCAAGGCUAAAACUCAAAGGAAUUGACGGGUCCCCGCACAAGCGGUGGAGCAUGUGGCUUAAUUCGAUGCAACGCGAAGAACCUUACCAGGCCUUGACAUGUAGUGGACCGGGGCAGAGAUGCCCUUUCUCUUCGGAGCCGCUUCACAGGUGCUGCAUGGCUGUCGUCAGCUCGUGUCGUGAGAUGUUCGGUUAAGUCCGGCAACGAGCGCAACCCACAUCCUUAGUUGCCAGCAGUUCGGCUGGGCACUCUAGGGAAACUGCCCGUGAUAAGCGGGAGGAAGGUGUGGAUGACGUCAAGUCCUCAUGGCCCUUACGGGUUGGGCUACACACGUGCUACAAUGGCAGUGACAAUGGGUUAAUCAAAAAAAACUGUCUCAGUUCGGAUUGGGGUCUGCAACUCGACCCCAUGAAGUCGGAAUCGCUAGUAAUCGCGUAACAGCAUGACGCGGUGAAUACGUUCCCGGGCCUUGUACCCACCGCCCGU